CCUACGGGGGGCAGCAGUGAGGAAUAUUGGUCAAUGGACGCAAGUCUGAACCAGCCAUGCCGCGUGAAGAAAGACGGCUCUAUGAGUUGUAAACUGCUUUUGUACGAGGGUAAACGCAGAUACGCGUAUCUGUCUGAAAGUAUCGUACGAAUAAGGAUCGGCUAACUCCGUGCCAGCAGCCGCGGUAAUACGGAGGAGUCAAGCGUUAUCCGGAUUUAUUGGGUUUAAGGGGUGCGUAGGCGGUCGUGUAAGUUAGAGGUGAAAUCCCGGGGCUCAACUUCGGAAUUGCCUCUGAUACUGUUUGGCUAGAGAGCAGUAGCGGUAGGUGGAAUGUAUAGUGUAGCGGUGAAAUGCUUAGAGAUCAUACAGAACACCGAUUGCGAAGGCAGCUUACCAAGCU
Molecule: ribosomal RNA, 400 nt
Filed under: uncultured bacterium
Lineage: Bacteria
Description: partial 16S ribosomal RNA
Rfam family: Bacterial small subunit ribosomal RNA
Source: RNAcentral